RNAcentral lists this microRNA precursor (205 nucleotides) under Oryza sativa Indica Group (long-grained rice). Its description in RNAcentral is "MIR812 microRNA precursor family". It matches the Rfam family "MIR812 microRNA precursor family". Lineage: Eukaryota; Viridiplantae; Streptophyta; Magnoliopsida; Poales; Poaceae. The record is from Rfam by way of RNAcentral.
AAAAAGACAAACCCUGGUUUCCGUGCCCAACGUUUGACCGUCCGUCUUAUUUGAAAAAAUUAUGAAAAAAAAUAAAAAGACAAGUCACGCAUAAAAUAUUAAUCAUGUUUUAUCAUCUAACAACAAUGAAAAUACAAAUUAUAAAAAAAAUUUAUAUAAGACGGACCGUUAAAGUUGGACACAGAAAAUCAAGGUUUAAUUUUUU